RNAcentral lists this RNase P RNA (430 nucleotides) under Deinococcus sp. Leaf326. RNAcentral describes it as "Bacterial RNase P class A". It matches the Rfam family "Bacterial RNase P class A". From Rfam's summary of the family: Ribonuclease P (RNase P) is a ubiquitous endoribonuclease, found in archaea, bacteria and eukarya as well as chloroplasts and mitochondria. The record is from Rfam by way of RNAcentral. Lineage: Bacteria; Thermotogati; Deinococcota; Deinococci; Deinococcales; Deinococcaceae.
GCGGGGGAAUGCACGGUCGCGCCCAGGCAACUGGGUGAGGAAAGUCCGGGCACCGCAGGGCAAGGAUGCCAGCUAACGGCUGGUCGGCGAGUCGAGCACCCACACCGGCACCGUAAGGGUGGGCAGCGGCGAAGCCGAAGGACAGUGCCACAGAAACCAGACCGCCGCGCUAUGCGCGUGAGCGCAACGCCCCGGCGCGGGCGGAGGCGCGGUCAGGGUGAAACGGUGCGGUAAGAGCGCACCAGGCCCCCCGGAGACGGGGAGCGCUGGUAAACCCCAUCCGGUGCAAGACCCGACAGUGCGCGAGGGCGGCCCGCCCGUUGACCGCCAGGAUGGUCGCUUGAGGCGGGUGGCGACACCCGUCCCAGAGAGAUGACCGCGCAGCCACGCGAGUGGUGGACAGAACCCGGCUUACAGUUCCCCCGCACCA